Vidua macroura (Pin-tailed whydah) is the source of this 245-nucleotide long non-coding RNA. RefSeq lists it as uncharacterized. The record is from RefSeq and is a predicted model, not a curated record. The transcript has 3 exons. Lineage: Eukaryota; Metazoa; Chordata; Aves; Passeriformes; Viduidae.
UUUCAAUUGUCCAGCAUAAGAAUGAAGAAAUCUGAAUCAGACCAGCUGAAGCAAAGCCUUUUCUGCAGCCUUGUAAAAACCCAGGAGUAACUUAAGCUUCACCAGUAUUGGUCUCAGCACAGACUAAGGGUAAGAAGCCUUGGAGCUUUCCCUGAAAUUCUGGGCUGGCUGCUGGCUCUCUUCCAGCUUGGGGGGUCCCAGCCCUAUAGCACUGAACCCCCAAGUUCCUGCAGCUGAGCUGGGUU